GUGGAUUAGAUACCCUAGUAGUCCACGCCGUAAACGAUGGAUACUAGCUGUUGGAGGUAUCGACCCCUCCAGUAGCGAAGCUAACGCGUUAAGUAUCCCGCCUGUGGAGUACGGCCGCAAGGCUAAAACAUAAAGGAAUUGACGGGGACCCGCACAAGCGGUGGAUCGUGUUCUUUAAUUCGAUGCUAAACGAAGAACCUUACCAGGGCUUGACAUCCAGGGAAUUUUUGGGAAACCAAUUAGUGCCUUUUGGAACCCUGUGACAGGUGAUGCACGGCCGUCGCCAACU
This 289-nucleotide ribosomal RNA is filed under the name uncultured bacterium. RNAcentral's name for it is "partial 16S ribosomal RNA". It matches the Rfam family "Bacterial small subunit ribosomal RNA", at positions 773 to 1060 of the family's 1533-position model. The record is from RNAcentral.